RNAcentral lists this ribosomal RNA (754 nucleotides) under Galerina pseudomycenopsis. RNAcentral describes it as "eukaryotic LSU rRNA". It matches the Rfam family "Eukaryotic large subunit ribosomal RNA", at positions 78 to 817 of the family's 3401-position model. Lineage: Eukaryota; Fungi; Basidiomycota; Agaricomycetes; Agaricales; Galerinaceae. The record is from RNAcentral.
CCCUAGUAACUGCGAGUGAAGCGGGAAAAGCUCAAAUUUAAAAUCUGGUGGUCUUUGAUCAUCCGAGUUGUAAUCUAGAGAAGUGUUAUCCGCGCUGGACCGUGUACAAGUCUCCUGGAAUGGAGCGUCAUAGAGGGUGAGAAUCCCGUCUUUGACACGGACUGCCAGGGCUUUGUGAUGCGCUCUCAAAGAGUCGAGUUGUUUGGGAAUGCAGCUCAAAAUGGGUGGUAAAUUCCAUCUAAAGCUAAAUAUUGGCGAGAGACCGAUAGCGAACAAGUACCGUGAGGGAAAGAUGAAAAGAACUUUGGAAAGAGAGUUAAACAGUACGUGAAAUUGCUGAAAGGGAAACGCUUGAAGUCAGUCGCGUUGGCCGGGGAUCAACCUUGCUUUUGCUGGGCGUACUUUCCGGUUGACGGGUCAGCAUCAAUUUUGACCGUUGGAUAAAGUUCAGGGGAAUGUGGCAUCUUCGGAUGUGUUAUAGCCUUUGUUCGCAUACAACGAUUGGGAUUGAGGAACUCAGCACGCCGCAAGGCCGGGUAUUUAAACUACGUUCGUGCUUAGGAUGCUGGCAUAAUGGCUUUAAUCGACCCGUCUUGAAACACGGACCAAGGAGUCUAACAUGCCUGCGAGUGUUUGGGUGGAAAACCCGAGCGCGUAAUGAAAGUGAAAGUUGAGAUCCCUGUCGUGGGGAGCAUCGACGCCCGGACCAGACCUUUUGUGACGGAUCCGCGGUAGAGCAUGUAUGUUGGGACCC